RNAcentral lists this ribosomal RNA (238 nucleotides) under uncultured bacterium. RNAcentral's name for it is "partial 16S ribosomal RNA". It matches the Rfam family "Bacterial small subunit ribosomal RNA", at positions 28 to 297 of the family's 1533-position model. The record is from RNAcentral.
GAUUAACGCUGGGCGGCGUGCCUAACACAUGCAAGUCGAACGCGCAUUUAUGUGAGUGGCGGACGGCUGAGUAACACGUUGGUACCUACCCCGAACUCGGGAAUAAGCACUGGAAACGGUGUCUAAUGCCCGAUAGUCUCCUUGGAGUAAAGAUUUAUCGGUUCGGAGGGGCCUGCGCGAGAUUAGCUUGUUGGUGAGGUAAUGGCUCACCAAGGCUUCGAUCUCUAGGGGUCUGAGA